GAGGCAGCCAUGACUGGCCACUUCAUGUGCUCCUGGAGAAGGCUUGCACCAGCCGUGUUCAGGAAAGUCAAGCAGCUGUUGACUCCUGAGUCUGGGUGAAUUUGUGUGAAGAGCAUAAGGCACUGUUUCUUAACCAACACGCUUCAUCUUGCAGUGCAGAUGGGAUGUGCUUCUCCAUAGGAGGCCCCAUGGCUUCCCCACCCCUCAGAGGAGCGCAGUGCGAAUGUGUGGAGGAUUUGCAGCUCCUGCAGGCUGCCCUUGGUCUACUUGGCGACGCCUGCCUUCCCUUAAUUAUACAGUCAUGAGCCGCCUGGAAUCACGGCAGCUCCCGAUGGAGCCUGGAUGCACAGGGCUGCGGCACAGGAGUGCGCGAGGGGCUGCAGAGCCGGAGGCUGCGGUGGGCACCAUGGAGGAAGCUGCCCUGGGCAGCAUGGGCAGGGUCUCAAGGCCCAGGUUUGAGUAACAGGUGUUGAGAGCUUACUUACUUUUCCUGAGACACAGUUUCCUCAUCUCGAGAGCACGGAAAAUCAUUCCAAUUUCAGAGGAUUGUUGUGAAAGUUAAAUGAAUUAAAGAGGUAAAGCCCAUACAUCCUUAGCUCAUGCUUGGCUCUCUGUCAAUGCCAGUUAGCGCUGCAUUUUCUCCCCUCUCCCUCCCUCCUUCUCUCUUUCUUUUCUUCUGUUCUCCAUUUCUGUUUUCUCUCCCACCCCACUCCCCAAAGCUCUGCAUUGAGAACCAGAUGCUGUCUGGUGGGUUAGGACCAGAGGAGGAAAAGCUGCCUGCGUGGGCUGCACCAUACCCUCUUCAUUCCAAUGACAUGAGGGGAGUCAUGACCCUCCCCAAUGACAUGACGGGAGGGAAAGGACAGAGGUAGACCGUCCUCCCCACCUCCUCCCAAUACAAAUGGAACUCCUGGAACUGGGAAAACAAAGAAUACCCCCAUAAAAUAAGACAGUACUUCUGCUGCAGUGUAAUAAAGGGGAAAGUAACCCUCAGUGUCAGGAAACUGCACCUCCCAGCUCAUAUUUGUGUGGAGGAAAGUUAAAUAUUAAAUUUGGACUCAGUUGAAUGUGGACACAAAGAAUGGUCACCAAGUCCCAGAACAGGUUGUGUGAGCCCCUUCAGGGGUUCAUCCGGCACUGUUUCGGAGAAAUCUCUAUUUCAAUUUAUUCCUAUACGUUAGUUAUUGAAAACAACAGACAAUCACAAAAGCAAGUUGCCCUUUUUUGUGUUCCUUGAGCCCAGUCACGAAGUGCCCUCAUGACUGGGCCUCAUGACAAACACCUGUAACAAGUAACAACAGAGCUAGGGGUCCCAGACCGCACUGAAGCUUCGUGAGACCCCUCCUCAUCUGUGCACGAAUGAGUGUCCGACUCUGAGCCCAGCCUGCUGCUUCCCAGUCUGGUGGUGAAUUCUCCGUAGUCUGAUGGAGGUUUGCUCUUGUUGCCCAGGCUGGAGUGCAAUGCACAAUCUCGGCUCACUGCAACCUCCGCCUCCCAGGCUCAAGCAAUUCUCAUGCCUCAGCCUCCUGAGUAGAUGGGACUACAGGGCAUGGACUGGAACUCCCAAUAUCCCUGACAUGGGGCUAAGUCAGCGUGGUCAUGAACAUGUGACAGGAGGCAGCAGAAGUUGCAGAGAAGAGUGAGGCACGUUUGAAAAAGGCUGAAAAAUGUUUCUGUCCAGGCAAGGGUGUGUGCUGAAUGACUCAAGGAUUUUUUGGAGAGUUGGAGUGUCUCACCAGAGGAGACACUGAAGGGCUUUGCAUCCCUCCUUGGACAUGUCUAAUACUUAGCACUCAGAAAGCAUCCAGUAAAUAUUUGUGGAAAGAAAGGAGUGGAGAAAGGGAGAAAGGGGAAAGGGUGUGGGGGAGAGAGAGAAGAAAGACUGCUUCUUGCCCAGGGCCUGGCAUGGGGCGGAGGCAGAGCAGUGGGGUCCUCAGCUAUGUCCCACUGUGAGUGCACACUGAGUCCUGACCUUCAGAGGGUUCAGCCCAAGGGGUCCUGGCCUGUCUGAAAGGUGAGCCAGCUAAGUGGCCUGCCCUGACCACCGGGCUCACCCAUGACUACCUGGGUGGCUACAGCGAGUUCCUGACAAUGAGUACAGCACUCAGUUAUUGGGGCCCUUGCACCCACACGCUGUCCACUUCCUGGGGCGCUGCUGUGGACGUGCGAGUGCUUGCUCCCCAGCUCCACUAGUGACACUGGCGGCUCCUCGCUGGGGCCUUCCCUGCCUGCUCCGCUCCAUUGCCACUGCUGGGCUCCUCACGUCUCUCCUUGCUGCUUCCUGCACUGGGGUGAGGAGAGUGGGGCUGGUCCCCUUGAGACCGGAGAAGCUCCGGGCUUUUAAGGAAAACUGCCAGGGACGAAGAGAAGAUAUCAUUUCCCCACGUGGUCGGCUUCCAGGUUCAGAAGGAACGUCUGUCCUUGUGGAUUCUGCACCAGAUGACCCCAGAUGCUGCCUCAAUACUAGGUCCCUGUGGCUCUGGAGCCUUUGCUGGGUCUGGGCAGCGUCUCUUCCUUUCCAGUUCAUCCUUGGGUCUCUUCACCCUUGCCAGGGGCAGGCUUCCUGGUGAGAGGUCGACCUCCUGCAUGAAGGCUCUCAAGAGGCCAGUUCAAAGCCAAGCUCCGGGUCUGUGCCUGUGGGGCUGCUCCUCCAUCAGGAGAUGGUCACUUGCCUCCUGGUCUAUAUCUGUGGGAUUCUCCUCCAUCAGGACAUGGUCACUCCCCCCUCCUGGUCUAUAUCUGUGGGAUUCUCCUCCAUCAGGAGAUGGUCAGUCGCCUCCUGGUCUAUAUAUGUGGGAUUCUCCUCCAUCAGGAGAUGGUCACUCGCCUCCUGGUCUAUAUAUGUGGGAUUCUCCUCCAUCAGGAGAUGGUCACUCCCCUCCUGAUCUAUAUCCGUGGGAUUCUCCUCCAUCAGGAGAUGGUCAGUCCCCUCCUGGUCUAUAUCCGUGGGAUUCUCCUCCAUCAGGAGAUGGUCAGUCCCUCCUGGUCUAUAUCCGUGGGAUUCUCCUCCAUCAGGAGAUGGUCCAGUCCCCUCCUGGUCUAUAUCCGUGGGCUGCUCCUCCAUCAGGAGAUGGUCACUCGCCUCCUGGUCUAUAGCUGUGGGAUUCUUCUCCAUCAAGAGAUGGUCACUCCCCUCCUGGUCUAUCCCCGUGGGAUUCUCCUCCAUCAGGAGAUGGUCACUCGCCUCCUGGUCUAUAUCUGUGGGGCUGCUCCUCCAUCAGGAGAUGGUCACUCACCUCCUGGUCUAUAUCUGUGGGGCUGCUCCUCCAUCAGGAGAUGGUCACUCUCCCUCUCGGUUGCUCAGUCAAAAACAACCUCUAUGGAAAACUGUGUGGAAUUUUUUCUAAAGAAUUGAAACUAGAGCUAGCAUUUGAUCCAGUCAUCUCCCUACUGGGAAUACACCCAAAGAAAAAGAAAUCAUUAUAUCAG
This 3429-nucleotide long non-coding RNA is filed under the name Pongo abelii (Sumatran orangutan). RNAcentral's name for it is "lincRNA". Lineage: Eukaryota; Metazoa; Chordata; Mammalia; Primates; Hominidae. The record is from RNAcentral.